Molecule: unclassified non-coding RNA, 313 nt
Filed under: uncultured bacterium
Lineage: Bacteria
Description: contains 16S-23S intergenic spacer region
Source: RNAcentral
UGGGCUUGACAUGCAUGGGAAGAUCUUGAGAGAUCAGGGUCGCUCUUCGGAGUCCAUGCAGCACCUGUGUGCAAGUCACCGAAGUGAAGGAGUCCAUCUCUGGACCCCGUCCUGCCAUGUCAAGGGCUGGUAAGGUUCUGCGCGUUGCUUCGAAUUGAACCACAUGCUCCACCGCUUGUGCGGGCCCCCGUCAAUUCCUUUGAGUUUUAAUCUUGCGAUCGUACUCCCCAGGCGGAAUGCUUAAUGCGUUAGCUGCGCCACCGAAGAGCAAGCUCCCCAACGGCUGGCAUUCAUCGUUUACGGCGUGGACUAC